RNAcentral lists this unclassified non-coding RNA (379 nucleotides) under Hevea brasiliensis (rubber tree). The record is from RNAcentral. Lineage: Eukaryota; Viridiplantae; Streptophyta; Magnoliopsida; Malpighiales; Euphorbiaceae.
ACAAUGUGAAGAGGGGUCUUUUUUCCAUCUUCAUCGCCAAUGUAAGCUGCAGAUUUAUCAGCAUCUAGUAGCAGAUUCACGAUUGACAAGUGACCAAAGUGUGAAGGUGCAGUGGAGUCCAUCCUUGUUGAUCAAUCUUUUUGGUGAGAUCAGUAUUGGUUUUGCGCAAUAUUCUUCUUGUCAUUUCUGCAUCAUUGUUGAUUGCUGCUUCGUGCAAAGCUGUUCUACCAUUAGGGCCAUUGUAUUCUGGCGAAGUGCAGGUUUCCAAAAUUUCAGACAGAAUAUCACCAUAGCCUCUCUCAGCUGCUAGGUAAAGUGGACUUUCACCAGCAGCAUUAGCUAAAUAACAAUAAUCAACAUCUUCUUUAGUCAGUAAUCU